GAUGAACGCUAGCUACAGGCUUAGCACAUGCAAGUCGAGGGGUAACGAGAGGAAAGCUUGCUUUCCUUGUCGACGACCGGCGCACGGGUGAGUAACGCGUAUCCAACCUGCCCCCAACUAAGGAAUAACCUUGCGAAAGUAAGACUAAUACCUUAUAAUUUCCUCAGAUGACAUCUGACGAGGAAUAAAGAUUUAUCGGUUGUGGAUGGGGAUGCGUCUGAUUAGCUUGUUGGCGGGGUAACGGCCCACCAAGGCAACGAUCAGUAGGGGUUCUGAGAGGAAGGGCCCCCACAGUGGAACUGAGACACGGUCCAAACUCCUACGGGAGGCAGCAGUGAGGAAUAUUGGUCAAUGGGCGGAAGCCUGAACCAGCCAAGUAGCGUGCAGGAUGACGGCCCUAUGGGUUGUAAACUGCUUUUAUACAGGAAUAAAGUUAGCCACGUGUGGUUAUUUGUAGGUACUGUAUGAAUAAGGACCGGCUAAUUCCGUGCCAGCAGCCGCCGUAA
RNAcentral lists this ribosomal RNA (506 nucleotides) under uncultured bacterium. RNAcentral's name for it is "partial 16S ribosomal RNA". It matches the Rfam family "Bacterial small subunit ribosomal RNA", at positions 28 to 523 of the family's 1533-position model. The record is from RNAcentral.